Molecule: ribosomal RNA, 477 nt
Filed under: Thermoanaerobacter ethanolicus
Lineage: Bacteria; Bacillati; Bacillota; Clostridia; Thermoanaerobacterales; Thermoanaerobacteraceae
Description: bacterial SSU rRNA
Rfam family: Bacterial small subunit ribosomal RNA
Source: RNAcentral
GUGCCUAACACAUGCAAGUCGAGCGGUCCGGCAGCCAACUUAAGUUGGGAGCCGGAUAGCGGCGGACGGGUGAGUAACGCGUGGGCAACCUACCCUUAAGACCGGGAUAACACCUCGAAAGGGGUGCUAAUACUGGAUAAGCUCCUUGUAGGGCAUCCUAUGAGGAGGGAAGGUAGCGGGAGCUACCGCUUAAGGAUGGGCCCGCGUCCCAUCAGCUAGUUGGUAGGGUAACGGCCUACCAAGGCGACGACGGGUAGCCGGCCUGAGAGGGUGGUCGGCCACACUGGGACUGAGACACGGCCCAGACUCCUACGGGAGGCAGCAGUGGGGAAUCUUGCGCAAUGGGCGAAAGCCUGACGCAGCGACGCCGCGUGAGCGAGGAAGGCCUUCGGGUCGUAAAGCUCGAUAGUGUGGGAAGAAGGGAUGACGGUACCACACGAAAGCCCCGGCUAACUACGUGCCAGCCGCCGCGUUAAU